Molecule: unclassified non-coding RNA, 4048 nt
Filed under: Leishmania donovani
Lineage: Eukaryota; Euglenozoa; Kinetoplastea; Trypanosomatida; Trypanosomatidae
Description: gene:LdHU3.36.1460(CDS-product:nucleoplasmin-like _protein_(NLP)_putative)
Source: RNAcentral
CCGCAUAGAACUUCAAAAAGGUGCGCGCGUGUCGCACAACACAGUGACGUGCCAUCCGCUCAGUUGUCUCACUAUUCCUUCGUUUUCUUUUCAUGCGCCGUUAUCAGACACCUACCGCACCCGUCCUCGCCUUACAUACGCAUACCUCAUAGAGGUCAAGCUUCCUUCACCCAUACAGACACGCAGACGGAGACCCUACCGAGUGCAUCAGUGGACUUUCCACAAGGGAGUUUGCGCCGCCGCUCUCGCGCGACAGCGGAUAGACCUGCACAUUUUCAUCACCAUCACUACACGAGGGGCCGACUAUCUCACGCCUUCUCGCACCGUCUGCGUUCCUCCUCGGGCACCACUGCAGUUCCUUGCUGACACACUCUGUGCCACUCUCUCUCUCCCCUCCGCAGAGUUGGGGCGUCGUCGCUUUGCUGUCGUAUACCGGCCACCAAGCCGCUCUGCUGUUUUCGUCUUUUUUUUUAUUGGGUUGCAGCGUAACCGCAUCGACGACGCCGCAACGGGCGGCUGCACUUGUCAUGAUCACGGCUCGGUCACCUUAUCAAGUGUACAAGGCGACGGACGUUAAUGGUACCGUCGCCAAUUUCAACUCGCUGCCGUCGGAGGAGCUGCUGCCGUACAAGAUCCUGUCGUCUGAGGAGACAUUGUUGGCGUCACUCUUUGUUGUCGAAGGCAACGAGGAACAACGAGAGAGGUACGCUGUCUCAGCCCUGCACGCCGCGAGGGUGUAUAUUUCUCACCUCAUCAGCUACAUCCCUCUCUCCGCACGCUCGCAGACGGCAAAGAAAGUCCAGAUCAACAUUGACGCGGUCGUGCGCACCGUUAUGCUCUUCGCCGCCAACGCGGAAUUGCUGCAGAGCGUCAAGAAAAUGGUACUCACGAACGCCUCGGGGGAGCAGGUGUCACUGAAGGAUCUCUCAGACCUGGAAGGCGCCCUGAAUGCGAUGGAAAAAGUGUACCGGCAGAAGGCGAAAGGGGCUGGGGAGAAGGUGGACAUGCUGCGCAAGGUUGCGCCAGAACCGGUGAUCGUCUCAUCCAGCGCCGCAAAGUCGCAAGGUACUACGCCAUUGACGGCGGGAGAGGACAGCGGCAACGCUGCGUCGAACUCGACCGGCUGUUCUCGGCAGCGCCGCCGUCGCUCAGAGUCCACCGACGGCCCUGCCGGCCACGCAGACUUGCACAGUGACGCCGCCGCCCUCAAGGUGGCGAAGAUCGAGGGCGGCACAGGCAAUGCUCCUCUCGCCGCUGUGUAUGCCCCAAAGGUGUCUGGCGGGCCCAAGAGCGUGCGCACCGGCCUGCGUGGCGGCCUCGUGUGGGGCCGCCUCCGCGGUCUGACAAACAACGAAAAGAAGGUGGCCGCUAUGUUGCAAGCCAUGAUUCAGGUACUCGGGCACAUCUUCGCGACCAAGUUCAACGACCUCGUACCCAUCUUCGACAUGCUCGACGAGCGACUCAGGGCGGUACAGGCCAUCAUCGAUGCCGAACGCGCCCAGUACAAGGCGAAGGAGGACAAACGAAUUCCAGAACCAUUUCACGAGGUCACCCUGGAUGCCGUGCAGCUUGCUCUGCAGCAUUCGAGUGAAACCUUCCGCAACGACGAGGAGUGCCGCUACGAGCUCGAUGAGGACUUGCUGCACCCCAUCGCCCACGCGUGUCUGCGUGUUAUCAACCACAUCGAGGGCUUCUCGACCGAGCCCUUCAAAGGCCCGACACCAGAGGAAUUGUUGAAGAAGCAGCAGCUGCGGGAUGCCGCACGGGCCAAGCGCGAGGAGGCAAAGCGCCGGAUUCUGGAAAAGGCGGAGGCCAAGGCAGAACUGGAGCGCAAGAAAGAGGAGGAGCGACAGCUAAUGCGGCGGCGUCUUGGCGACGGCAGUGACGAGCACGAGAAGGAUCUUGAAGAGGACACCACGCUCGUCACUCCGUCCACGUUAGGGUACGUGGCCUACACCGCAGAGCUGCCGCUUGGCACCCCUGAACUGUUCGAAAAGGCGCUGUAUGUGUGGAGCAUGCUCUCCUCGGUGCCGCGUGCACUGAAUCUGUCGCAGAUGCACUUUGCCACCUUCGUUAAGGGCAUCGAGUGCGUGGACCAGGACGCGAAUGGGCUGAUGGAGGAGGUGACCAAGUGUCUGCUCGACGUUUCAAUGGAAAGCGUUCGCCUCCGCUCUCCGGGGACGCCGCGUAUCGUCACUCGCGGGAAGAACUGGUUCGAUGCGCUUGUCGAGUUCGUUGGAGUGGCCAGUGGAAACAAAAAGAAGCGGCGGCAGCAGCAGCGCCGGGUUUCCAGCACGGAAGACGAGGAGGAGAUUGACAGCGACAGCGACAGCGACGCGUCCUCCUCGACAUCGUCGUCGUCGUCGUCCUUUUCUUCGAAAGAGACGGACGCCAAAACGUCGGCUGAGGAGGAGGACACGUCACCAGAGAAGCCGGCAGCUGCCAUGGCGACGAGAGGCGAAGGCGCCGCGGAGGCAGCCGCCGAAGAGGAGGUGGAUACAGAUCCGUUCUCCCUGGAGCUGAAGGCGACGAUGGACAAGAUAGCGGGGCUGCGCUCCUUGGCGUCGUGGGGCAACGUCGAUGCCAUUGAUCGGCUCAAUCUGCUUCAGUUCUGCGUGUUGGAGGCGCUUGGCAGCGACGAAGUGCGCAACGAAGCGGACCGUGUGCAGAAGGACCGCGAAGAGGAGGCACUGAACGCCGAGAAGAAGCUCAGGGAGAUUCGCGAGGAGGCGGAGAAGGAGUUAAAGGCGUUGUUGCGCACGCUGCCGUCCGUGGCAUCCACGGCUGCCCGCAAAAAGAAGACACAGAACAGCACGCAAAAGGCCGAGCCAGUGACAAAGGAGGACAAUCAGCACACCAACAACGCCGAGGAUGAGAAGAAGGGCAUCGACGAGGCGGAGGGGGAUAGCGAGACGGCGACGGGAAAGGACGUGAGGGAGACGGCGCAGAGGAAUUUCGAGGCUGAGCGCGAAGCCAUCCUCCAAGAAGUCGACCGCAAGCGUGAGGAGGUCUACGCGCGUCUGCUCGGCGUGCAGGAUGGCAAGGACGACGGCGCCAUUGUCGAGCCGCUUGGCAUGGACCGCUAUCGGCGCCUCUAUUGGCGUUUUCCAAUGGAGCGAGUAGUCUACGUGCAAAGUGUUCCGAACCUCACGGCCGUCACCUUUCCGGUCCUCGCAGAGCCGCCGGAGCUCAAGCAGCGCCGCGCCUCCUCGCGGUCGCUCUUACUCGAUGACGAGGAGGAGAUCUCCAUGCUGGGCGGGCGGCGGCGUGGCGGCAGAGGUGCGACCGCGGCGGGCGAUGCGGCCCGCGCGAAGGACGACAAGGGUGUGGGCCAGACGAGGUGGGGUGUUAUUCCACACGAAUACCUCAGCACUUUUGUGCAAACCCUGGACCGUCGCGGGGAACGGGAGGCGCCGCUGCGGCACGCACUUGAGACGCUAGAGCCGUACCUUACUGCUUUGGAAGAGCCGCGAGAGGGGCGUGAGACGCGGGCCCGCGCGCACAUGUUCGGGUAUAUGAACCUCCUAAAGGUCGACUUCACGUCCUAAGCUAACAGAGGGCCUUCUUCUCCGCUAUCUAGAGCACGGAGCUAUCUCUGUCUCGAGCGCGACAGCCAGCGGCCGUACUUAGCGGUGGUCUCUAGAAAGGAAUAGAAUAAGCGCCCUCGCGUCUUUCCGUAUGCAGGAUGUGCCACAUAAUUAAGCCACAAACCGCUGUUUGUUCCCUGUUUUCCUUCUUCGUGUGCUGUAGCUUCUUACACACAGACCUACUGUAAAGCUGGAUGAGCCCUGCAUGUACUACGGGCAGAGCUGGUGGAGUUUUGGUUCCAACUGUGCUCUGCCCAUAUCGCGCGACGCUCUGCGCUGGCUGCACCGACCGUGCCAUGACUUCUGGCUGCCCUACGGAACAACAGACCAUGCUCCCGGGAAUCCCGAGCCGGGCCUCUUUUUACCGUGUUUCCACAAAUCCUCCUCCUCUCGCGCUCUUUCCUGCUAUACUGUGGUCGCGUAUCAUCAUUCUCGCAAACUCUCCUCUUCACGUCAUACAG